UGUGCGACUGUUUCUGGGGCACAUAUGAGUCUCUUAUGCAUCCUAUUGUUUUCUUAAAAUAUGGGUGUGACACAUCUUUAAUAUUAUUUCCUAAAAAAUGUGCGGGUUUACUUUUCUUUGUGCACUCUAUAAUCUGUAUUUAUUUUCAUACAAUAUAUGAACUGAAUCCACUUAUAUCUAUUUUUUUGUACAAUCUAAACAAAACAUCCACAAGAGAAUAAUUAUUUGUUCCAUGCUAUGACGACAAAUGAAGAUAAGGCACUCAACAACCACAACUCAUUCAACCGAAUGAGAUCGGCGAUCAUGCAGUUCAACAAUAGAGGAGAAGAUCAAGAAAAUGCUGCAUUUACUAUAGAGAGUAGACCAACCAAACAUCUGUACGCCUCCUACAGAUGGUUCUGAAAGCAAGAGCGAUACCUGUCCUAAAAAACAGGUGAUGUGAGACCCCGUCAUCACCUUUUAUUUGUUUCUGUCUUAUUGUUCCCAUUUUCCUUCUAGGUCCCUACAUAAAACAGAAGGUUGAAUGACUUCAAAAAUGCCAAGGUCACAAGAUGGAGUGCAAUGUCAUAAUUCUUGGACCAACAGCUACACCAAGUAGACCAUCUGAAGACACAAUCAAUUAGGCUCACCUAUACAACGCAAUAGAACAACCACAUCUGUAUCAUAUGCCUACGCUUAUGUAAUAUGUGCAUCUUGAGAUUAAAAAAAAAGCAUCAUGUAAGCGUGUAUCUAUCAUGUUACCUUAAUUAUAUAAACCACCAGCGUAUGUAACAUAUGGGUUAUACCAUGCUUGCUUACCCUUCCGCGCGAUGGCACGCGGGUUUUACUAGUUAAAACAUAUAACUGAAUCAAAUCUACUAUAUUUGAAAUAAAG
Sorghum bicolor (sorghum) is the source of this 874-nucleotide long non-coding RNA. RefSeq lists it as uncharacterized. The transcript is spliced from 3 exons. NCBI's taxonomy places the organism in Eukaryota, Viridiplantae, Streptophyta, Magnoliopsida, Poales, Poaceae. The record is from RefSeq and is a predicted model, not a curated record.